RNAcentral lists this ribosomal RNA (253 nucleotides) under uncultured bacterium. RNAcentral's name for it is "partial 16S ribosomal RNA". It matches the Rfam family "Bacterial small subunit ribosomal RNA", at positions 524 to 776 of the family's 1533-position model. The record is from RNAcentral.
GACGUAGGGCGCGAGCGUUGUCCGGAUUUAUUGGGCGUAAAGAGCUCGUAGGCGGCUUGUCGCGUCGUCCGUGAAAACCUGCGGCUCAACUGCAGGCUGGCGGUCGAUACGGGCAGGCUGGAGUUCGGUAGGGGAGACUGGAAUUCCUGGUGUAGCGGUGAAAUGCGCAGAUAUCAGGAGGAACACCGGUGGCGAAGGCGGGUCUCUGGGCCGAUACUGACGCUGAGGCGCGAAAGCUAGGGGAGCAAACAGG